Molecule: transfer RNA, 73 nt
Filed under: Halopolyspora algeriensis
Lineage: Bacteria; Bacillati; Actinomycetota; Actinomycetes
Rfam family: tRNA
About the family: Transfer RNA (tRNA) molecules are approximately 80 nucleotides in length. Their secondary structure includes four short double-helical elements and three loops (D, anti-codon, and T loops).
Source: Rfam by way of RNAcentral
GCCGCUGUAGCUCAGUUGGUAGAGCGCCCGCCUUGUAAGCGGAAGGUCAGGGGUUCGAGUCCCCUCAGCGGCU